Long non-coding RNA from Cotesia glomerata, 716 nucleotides. RefSeq lists it as uncharacterized. The transcript has 4 exons. The record is from RefSeq and is a predicted model, not a curated record. NCBI's taxonomy places the organism in Eukaryota, Metazoa, Arthropoda, Insecta, Hymenoptera, Braconidae.
CUGAGGUGAGUUAGACAAAGAGCCAAAUCUCAUCGAGGCGGGUACGAUCACUGGGAGAGAGGGAACUCGCAUGUUCUCUCUUUGUUGCUCCUGCUAUUGGAAAGAAGUGUAGUAAAACUCGACAGAGAAAAAUUUAAGUCUGGAUGAGGCUUAUAUUACGGAGUAUGCUACUCUUGGUCUUUACUCUUUAUGAGCAGAAUGGUAUUGUAUAGGAAGUAUAUAUGAGACAGAGAGUACACCAGCCAUCGGCCAACUGAAAUGUUUUUUUAUUUUAAAUAAACAAACUCAAGAGUUAUAAUGGAAUUUUGAAAAUUUUCUGUAUCUAGUUUAUGAAGAAGAAAUGUUUCAGAAAGUUUUUACAAAUCAAGAUUAUACACCGUGGCAUAGCAGGAGGUAUUACAGAGCUCAAAUAGCUUUCGUCAAAAUUUAUUAUAAAAAUACCACGAGCAACGUAACGAGGAGGGUUUAAGAUUAUAUUUUAUGGAUAAAAAGAGAAAAAUGGCGAGAAGAAGCUAAAUAAUUAUAUGUUUUGACGUCAUUAAUAAUGACCACAUUCCUCAUGGUUAUGACUGGACUUGGACUGAGGACUUGCCACGGUUGCAGUUCGUUAAAUAAUUAAUUGUGAUGCGUCAUUAAUUUUCUAAGAAACCUUUAAAUUUUAUGACGUUGAUUCAACGGCGCGGAUUUUUAAGUACUUUUUGGGGCAGAUUACUGGU